This 253-nucleotide ribosomal RNA is filed under the name uncultured bacterium. Its description in RNAcentral is "partial 16S ribosomal RNA". It matches the Rfam family "Bacterial small subunit ribosomal RNA", at positions 524 to 776 of the family's 1533-position model. The record is from RNAcentral.
UACGUAGGGUGCGAGCGUUAAUCGGAAUUACUGGGCGUAAAGCGUGCGCAGGCGGUUUGACAAGUCUGAUGUGAAAGCCCCGGGCUCAACCUGGGAACUGCGUUGGAAACUGUCAGGCUAGAGUGUAGCAGAGGGGGGUAGAAUUCCACGUGUAGCAGUGAAAUGCGUAGAGAUGUGGAGGAAUACCGAUGGCGAAGGCAGCCCCCUGGGUUAACACUGACGCUCAUGCACGAAAGCGUGGGGAGCAAACAGG